Molecule: ribosomal RNA, 400 nt
Filed under: uncultured bacterium
Lineage: Bacteria
Description: bacterial SSU rRNA
Rfam family: Bacterial small subunit ribosomal RNA
Source: RNAcentral
UGGGGAAUAUUGCACAAUGGGGGAAACCCUGAUGCAGCGACGCCGCGUGAGCGAAGAAGUAUUUCGGUAUGUAAAGCUCUAUCAGCAGGGAAGAAAAUGACGGUACCUGACUAAGAAGCACCGGCUAAAUACGUGCCAGCAGCCGCGGUAAUACGUAUGGUGCAAGCGUUAUCCGGAUUUACUGGGUGUAAAGGGAGCGUAGACGGCUGUGUAAGUCUGAAGUGAAAGCCCGGGGCUCAACCCCGGGACUGCUUUGGAAACUAUGCAGCUAGAGUGUCGGAGAGGUAAGUGGAAUUCCCAGUGUAGCGGUGAAAUGCGUAGAUAUUGGGAGGAACACCAGUGGCGAAGGCGGCUUACUGGACGAUGACUGACGUUGAGGCUCGAAAGCGUGGGGAGCAAA